Molecule: ribosomal RNA, 187 nt
Filed under: uncultured bacterium
Lineage: Bacteria
Description: partial 16S ribosomal RNA
Rfam family: Bacterial small subunit ribosomal RNA
Source: RNAcentral
UGCAACUCGACUCCAUGAAGCUGGAUUCGCUAGUAAUCGUGCAUCAGCCAUGGCGCGGUGAAUACGUUCCCGGGCCUUGUACACACCGCCCGUCAAGCCAUGGAAGCCGGGGGUGCCUGAAGUGCGUGACCGCAAGGAGCGCCCUAAGGUAAAACCGGUGACUGGGGCUAAGUCGUAACAAGGUAAC